Long non-coding RNA from Passer domesticus (house sparrow), 414 nucleotides. RefSeq lists it as uncharacterized. The transcript is spliced from 3 exons. The record is from RefSeq and is a predicted model, not a curated record. Lineage: Eukaryota; Metazoa; Chordata; Aves; Passeriformes; Passeridae.
GGGGCCUUCUUCACCCAUGCCACAGCAUCUUUCUGCUUCUGAAGGCAGUGGUUGUCCUAAGCAGUGUCCUGCUCCACAGAGGCAGAAGAGCUUUUGACACAAAGGUUGAUUUGAACCUGAACUGUGAGUACAUGAACACUUGCUCUGGCAUACGGGAGUAGGCGGCACAGGAGCAAAACAAGAAGACAGAGAUGGGAAAGGAGGGAAAGGAUGGACUUUUUGGAAACAUAUAUAAUUAGUGCCAGCUUCUGAAGCUGUGAUGUUAAAGUCAGCACCCCAAGACAGUGGUGCUCUGGAAUCAUCUCUCUUAGAACUACUAGGAAUCCUUUCUGGCAGUAAAAUGUUCACUUAGAAGAUCAACAGGAGAGACUAAAACACAAAACAGAGUCCUGAGGUUAUUGAUGUCUAAAGCAA